GUGAAUGACACACAUACUAAAAUUGGAACUACACAGAGCAGAUUAGUAUGCCUCCUGUGCAAAUUUGUGAGGCAGUCUAUAUUUUU
Small nuclear RNA from Fukomys damarensis (Damara mole-rat), 86 nucleotides. The record is from Ensembl. Lineage: Eukaryota; Metazoa; Chordata; Mammalia; Rodentia; Bathyergidae.